GACGAACGCUGGCGGCGUGCUUAACACAUGCAAGUCGAACGGAAAGGCCCUGCUUUUGUGGGGUGCUCGAGUGGCGAACGGGUGAGUAACACGUGAGUAACCUGCCCUUGACUUUGGGAUAACUUCAGGAAACUGGGGCUAAUACCGGAUAGGAGCUCCUGCUGCAUGGUGGGGGUUGGAAAGUUUCGGCGGUUGGGGAUGGACUCGCGGCUUAUCAGCUUGUUGGUGGGGUAGUGGCUUACCAAGGCUUUGACGGGUAGCCGGCCUGAGAGGGUGACCGGCCACAUUGGGACUGAGAUAGGGCCCAGACUCCUACGGGAGGCAGCAGGGGGGAAUAUUGCACAAUGGGCGGAAGCCUGAUGCAGCAACGCCGCGUGCGGGAUAACGGCCUUCGGGUUGUAAACCGCUUUCGCCUGUGACGAAGCGUGAGUGACGGUAAUGGGUAAAGAAGCACCGGCUAACUACGUG
RNAcentral lists this ribosomal RNA (468 nucleotides) under uncultured bacterium. RNAcentral describes it as "partial 16S ribosomal RNA". It matches the Rfam family "Bacterial small subunit ribosomal RNA", at positions 28 to 507 of the family's 1533-position model. The record is from RNAcentral.